CCAAUAGCGUAUAUUAAUGUUGUUGCGGUUAAAAAGCUCGUAGUUGAACCUUGGGCCUGGCUGGCCGGUCCGCCUCACCGCGUGUACUGGUCCGGCCGGGCCUUUCCCUCUGUGGAACCUCAUGCCCUUCACUGGGUGUGGCGGGGAAGCAGGACUUUUACUGGGAAAAAAUUAGAGUGCUCCAAGCAGGCCUAUGCUCGAAUACAUUAGCAUGGAAUAAUAAAAUAGGACGUGCGGUUCUAUUUUGUUGGUUUCUAGGACAGCCGUAAUGAUUAAUAGGGACAGUCGGGGGCAUCAGUAUUCAAUUGUCAGAGGUGAAAUUCUUGGAUUUAUUGAAGACUAACUACUGCGAAAGCAUUUGCCAAGGAUGUUUUCAUUAAUCAGGAACGAAAGUUAGGGGAUCGAAGACGAUCAGAUACCGUCGUAGUCUUAACCAUAAACGAUGUCGACUAGCGAUCCGCGGCCGUUGUUCAUAUGACUUCGCGGGCAGCCUUCG
Molecule: unclassified non-coding RNA, 496 nt
Filed under: uncultured Paraglomus
Lineage: Eukaryota; Fungi; Glomeromycota; Glomeromycetes; Paraglomerales; Paraglomeraceae
Description: SSU rRNA
Rfam family: Eukaryotic small subunit ribosomal RNA
Source: RNAcentral